Long non-coding RNA from Engraulis encrasicolus (European anchovy), 381 nucleotides. RefSeq lists it as uncharacterized. NCBI's taxonomy places the organism in Eukaryota, Metazoa, Chordata, Actinopteri, Clupeiformes, Engraulidae. The transcript is spliced from 3 exons. The record is from RefSeq and is a predicted model, not a curated record.
GCAUUGCCUGGCUGGGAGUGGGACCCGUCAGCAGCGGCAGCAGUCAACCAUGUCGUUGUGAAAUUUUAUCUAUUAUAUGUGCUGGUGAAAUUCAAUUGGCCAGAUUCUGCUUCUUUGAGGCUGAGGGAUUCAUGUAAUGUGGAAGUGGAUUCAGACAUAUUUGAUGAACUCUUAAAGUCAUCAGGGGUGUUUUUCAAGGCAGAGGAAUGUAAUGAUAUCCACACUGAGGUGACAUUCUUAGAGGGCUCAUCUUCAUCAGACUGGUCACCAUCAUCAUCAUGUGCAUCCCCAGGGUCAUCAUCAGGUACUGACUCAACAGUGAUACUGGAAUCUACAAAGACUGAGAGAAGACAGCUUAUUGAAGGACCCCUGGAUGUCAAU